RNAcentral lists this transfer RNA (72 nucleotides) under Candidatus Bipolaricaulota bacterium. RNAcentral describes it as "tRNA-Cys". It matches the Rfam family "tRNA". Rfam says of the family: Transfer RNA (tRNA) molecules are approximately 80 nucleotides in length. Their secondary structure includes four short double-helical elements and three loops (D, anti-codon, and T loops). Lineage: Bacteria; Candidatus Bipolaricaulota. The record is from RNAcentral.
GGCGGCGUAGCCAAGUGGUAAGGCAAGGGACUGCAAAUCCCUGACUCACCGGUUCGAAUCCGGUCGCCGCCU